RNAcentral lists this ribosomal RNA (468 nucleotides) under uncultured bacterium. RNAcentral describes it as "bacterial SSU rRNA". It matches the Rfam family "Bacterial small subunit ribosomal RNA", at positions 328 to 793 of the family's 1533-position model. The record is from RNAcentral.
UGGCCAGACUCCUACGGGAGGCAGCAGUGAGGAAUAUUGGUCAAUGGGCGGGAGCCUGAACCAGCCAAGCCGCGUGAAGGAAGAAGGCGCCAAGCGUCGUAAACUUCUUUUGUCGGGGAACAAAGGGCGCCACGUGUGGCGUUGUGAGUGUACCCGAAGAAAAAGCAUCGGCUAACUCCGUGCCAGCAGCCGCGGUAAUACGGAGGAUGCGAGCGUUAUCCGGAUUUAUUGGGUUUAAAGGGUGCGUAGGCGGGACCUUAAGUCAGCGGUAAAAUUGCGGUGCUCAACGCCGUAGAGCCGUUGAAACUGGGGUUCUUGAGUGAGCGAGAAGUAUGCGGAAUGCGUGGUGUAGCGGUGAAAUGCAUAGAUAUCACGCAGAACCCCGAUUGCGAAGGCAGCAUACCGGCGCCCUACUGACGCUGAGGCACGAAAGUGCGGGUAUCGAACAGGAUUAGAUACCCCAGUACG